UCAGCACCCGCUUCUCUGCGCCCGCCUCCCCCGCGCGGGCCAAUCAGCGCGCGCGCAGCGGCCCAGCCAAUCGCAGCACAGCCGUUGGGGUGUGGGGGGGGAGGCCGUAACGACCCCUCGGGCCGCCCCCGCCCCGCGUCCCCUCACGGGCCGCCGCCUCCCCCCCGCCGCGCUCCCCGCGCACUCACCGGGGCGGCCGGCGCCGCGACCUCCGCCUGCUCCGCCCGCUGCCCGCGCUGCCUCCGGCGCGGCCUGCGGGAGGCGGGGGGGGAAAAGGGGGGCGGCCGAAGCGGAGUGAGCGCCGAGCGGCCGAGAAACAAGAUGGCGGCAGGGCCGUGAGGCGUCGGGGCGGAGGCUCCGCCCUUUUUUGUCCCCCCCCUUCCCCUCCUCGGGCUGGGCCGCGGCGGCGCGCGCGGGCGCGUGACCCAGCGGGGAUCUCGCGAGAGUGGAGACUGGAAGCAGCUGAUAAUCAGAAGAAAAACCCCAAAAGCAGCCCUAAAGGAAGGGGAAGCAAAGGCUGCCUUGACAUUCCCCUCAAAUCCAUCAGUUCUGGAACAACAUCCAACUGGAGUAAUGAGGAAAAAUAGGAAAAGGAUUCCAUCCCAAAGAUUCUCCAGGUGCCUGCCUGGAUCCUCCAAGAUCCCUUCCCCAUGUGACAGUUUCAUCCUGUGGAUCCUCACAAUUCCAUGGAGGAACCUAAGGAAUUUAUUCCCACCCCUGGAUGGAUUUCUGUUGUUAUCCAUGGAUAUCCCUGGCAGUGCAAUCCCAGGGAUCAUCCAGGGACGUUCCUGGCUGAGCUGCUCCCUCAGCACAGGAAGAUUUUCUCCUGCCAUCCUGGAGCUUCUUCAAGCCAAGCACCGAGGACGACGAUCCAUCCCCACAAUUCCCUGGAAAACGCCCCAUUUAUUAAUUAAUUACCGAGCACUGCUGCUCCUGCUGCUGCCAGGCCCAGCUGUCCCAGCACCCAGCUUGGAUGCAGCUCCUCUCCAGGGAUUUCUGGACAAUCCCCCCUUGCUCCUCCUCCCGCCGGAUCCUUUUGUGCGGCUCCGUUUCCUCCCCACCUGCUCCCUUUUCCAGCCGCAAUGGAUCCAUUGUCUGGAGCUGCUCGGCUUUUCCCACAGGGAUUGCAGCUCCACAGAGCUCCCUGUCAGCCUGCCCGGAACGUGGAGGAGCCAAGGAAAACAUGAAACAGGGAAGGGAAGAAAAAAAAAAAAAAAAGGAAAGGAGAAAGUGCUUUUGCAGGAAUUUGGUGGCGCUCUGAUGAGUUUGGAUUUACCCAGCACCUUCCAACUGCUCAUCCCAUCCCUCCCAUGCUUCCCACUGCACCCCAGACCUAGAUUUGGGAGCCAAGGAUUCGUCUGGCACCAAGGAAAACCAGCUCGGAGCAGCAGAGACAAGGCUGACCCUUCCCAGCUCAGCCCCUGCCAUCCCCUGGGAUUCCUGUUUCAGCAGGACUCUGGAUUUAUCCCAAACCAGCUGUUGCUUUGGGGCAAUAAUCCACAGGCAUGGGAAAACCUGGAUAUAAAUUCUUUCUGGACAUGGACACACUUGCUUUAUGGAUCUGCAGGAAAAAGAGGCCAUUUAGGGCCAGAUUUGGGGGCCUGACCCUUUGUGCCACAUCCCACCUGGUGCCUGUCCUAGCUGGGAUGAUCCAUAGGGUAUUAAAGGAUAUCUAAGGAUAUUUAGGAAUAUGUCUAUGCCUGGACACUGAUUUGUUUAAACCUUCUGCUCUGAAAUUAAACCUCUGGGAAUAUAUUUUGACCUUUGGGUGUUCCCAAAGGAUUCCUUGAGGGCCCAGAAUUCCUGAGGGAUGAUCCAGGAUCAACUGUGGGCUUGUGGGUCCCCUUUUAUGCUCAGGUUUGAACCUGUGUGCCAGGAAAUUUUACUUUUUCUAAUCCAGAUGGGAAUUCCCAACAGAAUCCUGGUCUCCCUCAUUUUCCCAGCCCUCAUUUCCUAAGGAAGAGCUGACAGAAAACAGGAAAAACCUACAAAACUUUAGGAUCAGCACUGGGAGCUGAGGUGCUCAGCCUGGUGAUGAUUGGGAGGCCUCAUUCCCAAUAUUCCCACUCUGCUGGCAGAGGGGAGAGGAUUUCCCAGGAAUGCACCUCCUGCCCAGUUCAACCCCCUGGCUGUCCCAGUAUCCAGCUGGUGAGCUCUGGUGACCUGAUUGCUCCUGCCAGGAGAUUUUCCAGUGUCUCCACACAGCUCCUGCUCCUGCCAGAACUGGGACACGCCUCUGGCAGGGAGAAGGGAAGGAGCUGACCCAGCUCCAGCAGCUCAUCCUGCUGGGCACUUCCAGAGGGGCCAGGGCUCAUCUCACAGCCAGGACAGGGACUGGCACCUUCCUAGAGCAGGGUUAUUCCAGGGAAUCCCCACUGGGAUUCCCAGUCCUGCCAUAAACCAGCCCCUUUCCAUAACCCUUCUCCAGAUGCAGCUUCUCCUUCCCUGAAUGCAGUUCCAGGACCUCCAGAACAGCCUCAGAGCCUCCAGGACAGCCCCAGGAGCACCCUGGGAAGCUCCAGGAUUCUUCUGGGAAGCCUCAGUCCUCUGGAAAUCUCCAGGACACUAUUGGGAACCCUCAGCAUCCUCCUGGGAAGCCCCAGGA
Parus major (Great Tit) is the source of this 2605-nucleotide long non-coding RNA. Ensembl lists it as uncharacterized. The record is from Ensembl. Lineage: Eukaryota; Metazoa; Chordata; Aves; Passeriformes; Paridae.